GAGGAACAAAGGGAAGGGUCCAAAUUACAAUCAGGCCAUUGCCAUUGUUGCCACAUUUUACAUGUGCCUGGUCUAGACCACUUUGCUAAUAUUCACUACCCUUUGCGAUACGUUUCAUGCUUCAUCCGAAAACAACCGAAUUCACAAUAAAAUAUAGCGCUGUAUUAGCAGUAGUCAUUUUUGUAUAGUUUUUUCACAGUUGGACCUAAAAAGUCCUGCCGCAUAAUUCACCAAAAUAAUUUUGCUUUUGAGUGUAAUUAGUCAGUUUUUCCAUGUAUGCAUAUUGUUUUUGUUCUACGUAUGUUGCUACAAGAGAGAAUUUAAAAGCAACUGCUUGAUAUUCAAUAACAUAACCUUGUGAAGCCCCAACAGUCUAUCAGCUAAAUAUCUGAAACCAACUUACUGACAAUGACAACAACUUUUUUAUCUCCUAAGUGUCCAAUUAAAUGUCUCCAUUUAAGAAAUACUAUGUUUCAAUUUUUACCUACUGCAGGACCUUGGUUUUUGCAUUUUAAUUUUAUACACCACAGAUGCUAAUCUUCUAAUCAUAUCAUCAGCAUACAAAUUCUCUAACCAUUCUCUAACCACAGCAUUGGCUGGCUAAUUUUUCAACCAUUGGUUUAGCAUGCUAGUUUACCCAGAUGUUGGCAUGCUAACUAUCUAAACAGUUAUAGCAUGGCAAUUUUUCAACAAUGCGAUUAGUGUCCUAAUCUCUCAACCGUAGCAUCCGAUGCUUUUUGUAAACAACAUUUAGCAUUUAGCCUGCAUUUUGAGACAUUUUUGCUGAACAUUUGUGACUUCAAGUAUCUGCCGUCCUAAUCGGAGACGCAACUGCUGAUAAAAAAAAAAGUGUCUGGAGAUUUUCAAGAAAGACUGCUGCAUCUUGAGUCGAUCAGUCAGUCAGUCAACACAUAGAAUGUGAAUUUAAAGCGUAGUUAAUUGUAUUCAACUAGAAAACACACAUUUAAUCCCCAGUUUGUCUCAGGUGUGGCACGAGCUCCUGUUGCCGCAUUUUUGAUGAACACCUCAGAGACGAGUGAGAACCAGCGAAUGAAAAGAGCAGCAUUACGUAAUUGCAUCAUUCAGAGAUGCUGACAAUGCAACCAGACAUGUUUGUCAUUGCUAGGAGGGGGAGAGGGGAUGGAUUUGUUUGUGGACUAAUCCAGAAAGGCUUCAGACAAACAGCCGUGCAAAGUGUGGAGGAAGGCAUUUCAAAGCAGCCAUAACCGCAGAGAAUGCUCCGCUAAGCUCACACCUCCGCCAUGAAGGUUACACUCUGAGGAUAACUAGAUGCACAGCAGAGCUGCAUGUAAUUUCAUUUUACAUGACACCCCGCGUUAUAUAAAGUUCAGGCAGACAAAAGGAGGCGUCCCUGCGGAGGACCUUGACUCGGCUCUUCGGGCUGCAGUUUGAGGCGUUACGAAAGCAGCAUGUGUCACCAGAUGUAGUGAUGAAGAGUUGCCUUUUCGUCCCAAACCGACGGCGCCGAACUUGUUACAGCCGACAACCACCUUUCCACGCGGCACGAACGACGUGAGGAGGAUCUAUGUCGGGAUGGAAAACCUGGGUCCUGAGGGAUUCUCAGACAUCUUCAGAGCACAUGUUCGCUGAAAGUGCAGAGGGAUAUUUGACUUGACAGAGCAUGCUGAGGCAAUUCUCCAACAACAAAGUUCUAUUGUGCUCAACUCUGAGCUCCAUUGUUUAAUUCCCUUCUAACUGACGCUCGUCUGUAGAAACUAAAAGUCCCUUUAGAUAAAAAACAGGCUAAAAGAUCUAGAAAAACUCUAGCAUUGCCAACCAGCUCAGCACUGCAGGGCCGCAAUUAGCGGUCCGAGCUAACAGCGGUUAGUGAGUGACCUCCCCUGGGUCGAUGUGAAGCCCGUCUGCUGUCCCUAUUGUAGGAUGAUGCCAAUUUUUGAUAGAUCAAAUUCCUACAUUUCAAUCAAAUUAAAGAGGAGAUUCAUUUCAGAGCCUUUCUGUGAAAGAAACUUUCAAACUUUGGGGAAAGAUUUUAGAAAUUCAGGAAAACUUGAGUUGCCUCUCCUAACAACCUUGAAGGCGAAAGAUAAAUAUCCACGAGGCACCCUAGAAAGAAGCCCGUUUUAUUUCUGGAGAUUAAUUGCAUGCACAUGAACGUGUCGAAAAUGUGAUUCAUUUCUGGCACAGAGAGUUAUAUCUGAAGCUGUGUUUGAUAAAUUUAGUCAAUAAUUGAUUUUGUUUGCCAGAUUGAUUUUGCGUUCAGGGGAGGCAGGUGAGUAAUCCUGCUAAGUAAAAAUAAAGCUAUGAGAAGUAAAAUAGAUGCUAAGAACAAUGAAAGAAAAUCACUUUGUCCACUUGGAUUUUCUAUAACUUGUUUUUCUUAAUGUCAACAUUUUAUGGUCAAAAUCUUGGAAUUUGCGCAUUGCCUGUUGAAAUACAUGCAAGAAGAGCCGAGGUGAGGCAGUGCAGUACCACGCCUCACUGAUAGGAGGCAGUGCUGAUCCCCUUAGAGACAAUGAGCAACAGGUGCUCUUCUUCUACGCAUUGAAAAGAUUGUCCAGGGAAAAUUCGGUCGGAGCAGAACCGCUCAAAUACACAACAACUAAUAGAAAACUUUUCUGUUUUGUUUUUAUGAAUUAAGUGAAAAAACUGUCAAUUCUGUUCCUAAAUGCAAAAUGAUGCCUACAUUUAUUUUUGUGUACAUGUAAAUAUGAGAUUAAAUAAUUAUGCAACAAUGUCAGUAGUUUUUAAAAACUUACUUGUGACAUUAAUUUUCUAUUUUGUUGCCUAAAAUCUAGCAAUAAGGUUAUUUCGACCCAAUCUAACAUUGUUAACCUAAACGAUCACUUAUUUCUAAGCAAAGCUGCUAAAUUAAAAGAUUAUUUUUUUGUUAAAUGUAAAUAUUUGUUAUUUUUAUGAGCCCCAAGCAAAUUGUACAUGAAUAUAGACAAUGUAAUUUUGGCCGAACCUAACCGUGUUUCAAUUUUUGCCACGUCAAAAUAUGCUAUUAAUCAUAAACAUGAUCACUAUUUUCCUAAACUUGGAGUUUUCCUUAUGCUAUUUAUGAUUUCUUCCAUAAAUCUUGAUGAAAUAUGUUGUCAAUAUCUGGCCAUGUCAACAUUGUGAUUAUUUCUAGACGCCUUUAUGGACGGAAGCUGCAGAUUUCUGUCCCAGUUGAUGCUGAUUUAGCCUGACCGUUUAAAGUGGAACAGAAGUCUGUCGUUUUCCAGCCUGUAGACGUUUGCUCAUUUUUACUCAUCCUGGGCGACCUUAAACCCAAACAGACCCAUGUUGCAUUGUGGGAAAGUGAAACUUGCCGCCCGAACACGACUCCAGCUCCACGUCUAUCUGUGGAAAUGAGAGAAGGAUGCUGCGUGUAAUCAGCUGUUUACAGCCGCCGCAGCAGCUCCGGCCUAAUGGCUCCAACAUGGCCGACACGGGCUCAGUUACGUCACCUAAAUGAAUGCCCUCUGUUCCAGAUCACCCAGCUGCAUGUUUCCAGUUUACCCAGUCUGGGUGUGAGAGGAUGAAGAAGAGGAGGAGGAAGAGGAGGUGGAGGUAGCGGGGGCAUCCAGAGGAAGACGCAUGUAAACCCAUUUCCAAACAAACGGGCCAGUGUUCAAUGGCUGAAUGAAUCAACACGAGCGACCGCACAACAGGACAUGGUGGCCAUUUAACACUGGUGAGCCCAUGGUGAUUAUACUGUACACAUGCAGACAGAGUCAGAAAUGAAACCAAACAUGUGUGAGUUGAGGCUCACACAUGUUUACACUCCAGAAAGUUGUCUAUUUUUAUCUAAAGGCCUUUAUUCAGUCAGGUUCUUACUGAACUGACCUGCAGCCAUAUUGUGGGAGUAGAUUUAGUGAUGUGAAGGGGAGGGUUAGCCAAAAUUAGAUGCAAAAUAAUACAAAUGUGUAAUAAAUAAUGAUGAAUGUAAGAAUGUGGAUCGGAUCUGUUGACUGACUUAUAAACAACAAAUAUGCCUGAAUAUCCAUUAAAACACAGUGGACAUCAUCUCAGCGUUGCCAUAGAAGCUUACAUCUACCAUCUUCCUUAUCUCCACUUUUUAGGUGUUCAGCCAAUCUGCACCAAGGAAAAUAAACGGCACUCUGUGAUUGGCUACCAGCCAAUAGAAAGUCAGCUAUCAUCGAGUCCAGAGUCUCUUGGAAGUGCAGCCGAGGUCCUCCGCUCAUCUCUUUUUUUCCAAUCUUUCUGGGAUUUGGAGUGAUUUGCGCCGCGCUUCCCCGAGGGAAAUAAAUACUUUGAUUAAUGUAAUCCUGGGGAGGCUGAUGUCCCUCCCCUCCCCCACCUGUACCUGAGGGACUGCUCAGCAAAACAAAAACAAGAAGAAGAAGAAGAAACGAGCAGAGAGCGACAACUGGACGAGUGCAGAUUGGAUUUGUUUGGUUUCUUAAUUAGUGUGCCUUUAAUGCGCAGCAUCAGUCUUGAUUAGCAUGUAGCGCUAUCCAACAGGACACUGUAAAAGUGUGGCUCACGCUCAUGUGACUCCUGGAAGUGGCAGCAUUAUGCUGGGUGGGACUGCUGGGGUUACAGGUGCAAAGUUCUUCCCAGUGCUCGGAUAAUU
Xiphophorus maculatus (southern platyfish) is the source of this 4564-nucleotide long non-coding RNA. RefSeq lists it as uncharacterized. Lineage: Eukaryota; Metazoa; Chordata; Actinopteri; Cyprinodontiformes; Poeciliidae. The record is from RefSeq and is a predicted model, not a curated record. The transcript has 2 exons.